ACGAACUGUGCAAACGUUAUUCGGAAUUACUGGGCUUAAAGAGUUCGUAGGCGGCUUGUUAAGUCGGGUGUGAAAUCCCUCGUCUCAACCGAGGAAUUGCGCUCGAAACUGGCGAGCUUGAGUGAGAUAGAGGUGAGCGGAACUGAUGGUGGAGCGGUGAAAUGCGUUGAUAUCAUCAGGAACACCGGUUGCGAAGGCGGCUCACUGGGUCUUGACUGACGCUGAGGAACGAAAGCUAGGGGAGCGAACGG
This 251-nucleotide ribosomal RNA is filed under the name uncultured prokaryote. RNAcentral's name for it is "partial 16S rRNA". It matches the Rfam family "Bacterial small subunit ribosomal RNA", at positions 525 to 775 of the family's 1533-position model. The record is from RNAcentral.